This 371-nucleotide ribosomal RNA is filed under the name uncultured bacterium. Its description in RNAcentral is "bacterial SSU rRNA". It matches the Rfam family "Bacterial small subunit ribosomal RNA", at positions 527 to 896 of the family's 1533-position model. The record is from RNAcentral.
AGAGGGGGCAAGCGUUAUUCGGAAUUAUUGGGCGUAAAGGGCGCGUAGGCGGCUUGGCAAGUGGAUGGUGAAAUCCCUCGGCUUAACCGAGGAACUGCCGUCCAAACUGCUUUGCUUGAGGCCGGGAGAGGCGAGUGGAAUUCCCAGUGUAGCGGUGAAAUGCGUAGAUAUUGGGAGGAACACCAGUGGCGAAGGCGGCUCGCUGGACCGGUUCUGACGCUGAUGCGCGAAAGCGUGGGGAGCAAACGGGAUUAGAUACCCCGGUAGUCCACGCCGUAAACGAUGAGUGCUUGGUGUAGCGGGUAUCGACCCCUGCUGUGCCGAAGUCAACACAUUAAGCACUCCGCCUGGGGAGUACGGUCGCAAGGCUG